UGGACUGUCGCCAAGUGGUAAGGCAAGGGACUUUGACUCCCUCAUCCCGUGGGUUCAAAUCCCGCCAGUCCAACCA
Molecule: transfer RNA, 76 nt
Filed under: Ruminiclostridium sp.
Lineage: Bacteria; Bacillati; Bacillota; Clostridia; Eubacteriales; Oscillospiraceae
Description: tRNA-Gln
Rfam family: tRNA
About the family: Transfer RNA (tRNA) molecules are approximately 80 nucleotides in length.
Source: RNAcentral